GGUGGCUCAGUGGUAAAGCGCUUGCCUUGCAUGCAUGAGGCCUUGGGUUCGAUUCCCCAGCACCA
RNAcentral lists this transfer RNA (65 nucleotides) under Dipodomys ordii (Ord's kangaroo rat). It matches the Rfam family "tRNA". Rfam says of the family: Transfer RNA (tRNA) molecules are approximately 80 nucleotides in length. Their secondary structure includes four short double-helical elements and three loops (D, anti-codon, and T loops). The record is from Rfam by way of RNAcentral. Lineage: Eukaryota; Metazoa; Chordata; Mammalia; Rodentia; Heteromyidae.